AGAACGAACGCUGGCGGCGCGUUUAAGCAGUGCAAGUCGAGCGGCAAGGGCCUUCGGGCCCUAGAGCGGCGGACGGGUGAGUAACACGUGGACAAUCUGCCCCCCGGCCCGGGAUAGCCCAGGGAAACCUGGAUUAAUACCGGAUGAGACGGGACCCGCGAUGGCGGGAUCCGGGAAAGGCGCUGCGGCGCCGCCGGGGGAUGAGUCUGCGUCCCAUUAGCUAGACGGCGGGGUAACGGCCCACCGUGGCGACGAUGGGUAGCCGGCCUGAGAGGGUGGACGGCCACAUUGGAACUGAGACACGGUCCAGACUCCUACGGGAGGCAGCAGCUAAGAAUCUUCCGCAAUGGGCGAAAGCCUGACGGGAAGCGACGCCGCGUGAACGAAGAAGGCCGUGAGGUUGUAAAGUUCUUUUCGGGAGGGGGAACAACCGUGGCAGGGAAUGGCCGCGGGAUGACGUGAAUCCCGGAAUAAGCCCCGGCUAACUACGUGCCAGCCGCCGC
This 503-nucleotide ribosomal RNA is filed under the name uncultured bacterium. RNAcentral's name for it is "bacterial SSU rRNA". It matches the Rfam family "Bacterial small subunit ribosomal RNA", at positions 26 to 518 of the family's 1533-position model. The record is from RNAcentral.